Coturnix japonica (Japanese quail) is the source of this 1854-nucleotide long non-coding RNA. The record is from Ensembl. NCBI's taxonomy places the organism in Eukaryota, Metazoa, Chordata, Aves, Galliformes, Phasianidae.
UAGAACCCAUUACGACCCUUUAGAACCCAUAACAACCCAUUAGAACCCAUUACGACCCAAUAGAACCCAAUAGAACCCAUUACAACCCAUUAUUACAACCCAUUAGAACCCAUUACGACCCAUUACAACCCAUUAUUACAACCCAUCCAAAGAGCAGGUACCCCAAUAAAGAAGACCCGGGUGGGGGGGACAGGCCUCACCAGAAGGUCUGCUUGAGGAUCCGGCUCCGCUCCUCCAACCAAGCUCUGCGUGCAUCAGGUGCCAUGUUCUGCCCAGCAUCCACCACAGCCAGCGGCCACUCUGCCAUAUGACACAGCCCCAUUGUCACCACCCCAACGUCCCCACACCGUCCCCCAAUGUCCCCACAGCUUCUCACCUUGCCCUGGUGGGGUGAGAGUGACGGCGUGUGCCAGCGCGGUGAGCACCGACUGCUCGGCCAACCCAAUGCGGAGCUUUCCACUGAGAGAUCUGCAUUAGGGGGACACCAAUGUCACUAUCAGGGACACCAAGGGGCACCAAUGUCAGAGAGAUCUGCAUUAGGGGGACACCAAUGGGCACCAAAGUCACUAUCAAGGACACCAAUGGGCACCAAUGUCACUAUCAAGGACACCAAUGGGCACCAAUUUUACUAUCAAAGACACCAAUGGGCACCAAUGUCACUAUCAGGGACAAAAUGGGCACCAAUGUCAUUAUCAGGGACACCAAUGGGCACCAACGUCAUUAUCAGGGACACCAAUGGACACCAAUGUCAAUAUCAAGGACACCAAUGGGCACCAAUGUCAAUAUCAGGGACAAAAUGGGCACCAAUGUCACUAUCAGGGACAAAAUGGGCACCAAUGUCACUAUCAGGGUGAUGAGGUGAUCCCACAGCACCACAAUUGCCCUUUUCUUGUCCUCACCGGACGAGGUAUCGCGCCUCUGAGUGCCGACAGGCGACAAAGAGCCCUUUGAUGAUGUCGAUCUUCUUGUUAGAAGACUGCAAAAGAAACCACAGCCACAUUGGCACAACACAAAGGUGACGAGUGCCAUCCACACGGUCCCCAAGCUCACCGCAUUGCCCGACAUGGCGGCCAUCUCCCGCAGCUUGCCGAGGACACCGUUGGCGCUCAAUGGGGCUGGCGGCACCACCGUGCGUUGGGUGCAGCGGCUGCUUUCGGCCACCAACCCCAAAUCCCCUUUAUCUUGUGCUUCACUGCGGAUCUGAGCCAGCUGGCGACCUGUGGGGAUGGCAACGCCAACGUCAACACCUACAUUAGCGCCAUGGGGCAUCCCAGUCAAUACCUAUAUCAAUACUAUGGGGCAUCCCAGUCAAUACCUACACCAAUACUAUGGGGCAUCCCAGUCAACACCUACACCAAUGCUAUGGGGCAUCCCAGUCAAUACCUACAUCAGCACCAUAGGGCAUCCCAGUCAACACCUAAACCAAUGUUAUGGGGCAUCCCAGUCAACACCUACAUCAAUGUUAUGGGGCAUCCCAGUCAACACCUACAUCAAUGUUAUGGGGCAUCCCAGUCAACACCUACAUCAAUACCAUGGGGCAGCCCAACCCAUGGAUCUUACCAGUGGCCUGAGCAAGGGCACGGGUGAGCAGGGUCUCGCCAACACCCAGCUCCAACCCUUCAGGGGCGGCUCCCGGACGGUUGAGGCACAAAAGAAGGCAAGGGAGUAAUUCAGAUGGGGUCAGGGCCACCACGGAGCGUAGGAAGUUGGUGAGGAUCUCAAUGAUCUUCAGCCUAGAGGGGGAAUGGAGGCUCAGAUCAUUGGGGUUUGGGGUAAGGGUUGGGGAUGGAGGGGAAAGGUGGUUGGCUCCAUAAAUCCCGAAUAGUUUUAGGUGGGAGUGGAGAAGGUGUUGGG